Molecule: ribosomal RNA, 509 nt
Filed under: uncultured bacterium
Lineage: Bacteria
Description: bacterial SSU rRNA
Rfam family: Bacterial small subunit ribosomal RNA
Source: RNAcentral
GACGAACGCUGGCGGCGUGCCUAACACAUGCAAGUCGAACGAAGUAAGUUGCUUCACCAAGUGUUGAAUAGCUACCCCCAAGCGCAUUUGCCAAAGGGUAAGCAAAAAGUACUAUCAAUUAAAUAAAAUGGUGAAACAAAAGAAUAGCGAAGAAGAAGCAAAUGCGCUUCACGCUAAUUCCAAGUACCAACACAAAACAAAUUCAAUGUUUGGUGAAGCAACUUGCUUAGUGGCGGACGGGUGAGUAACGCGUGAACAAUCUGCCCCGUACAAAGGGUAGCCUCGGGAAACCGGAUUAAAACCAUAUAACACUUAACUGCCGCAUGGUAGUGAAGUCAAAUCGAUUAAGAGGUAUGGGAUGAGUUCGCGUCUGAUUAGCUAGUUGGUGAGGUAAGGGCUCACCAAGGCGACGAUCAGUAGCCGGCCUGAGAGGGUGAACGGCCACACUGGAACUGAGACACGGUCCAGACUCCGUACGGGAGGCAGCAGGUGGGGAAUAUUGCACAAUA